Molecule: ribosomal RNA, 440 nt
Filed under: uncultured bacterium
Lineage: Bacteria
Description: partial 16S ribosomal RNA
Rfam family: Bacterial small subunit ribosomal RNA
Source: RNAcentral
CCUACGGGAGGCAGCAGUGGGGGAUAUUGCACAAUGGGGGAAACCCUGAUGCAGCGACGCCGCGUGUGGGAAGACGGUCCUCUGGAUUGUAAACCACUGUCCCCAGGGACGAAGAUGACGGUACCUGGGGAGGAAGCUCCGGCUAACUACGUGCCAGCAGCCGCGGGAAUACGUAGGGAGCGAGCGUUGUCCGGAAUUACUGGGUGUAAAGGGAGCGUAGGCGGGACUGCAAGUUGGGUGUCAAAUCUACCGGCUCAACCGGUAGCCGCACUCAAAACUGCAGUUCUUGAGUGAAGUAGAGGCAGGCGGAAUGCCUAGUGUAGCGGUGAAAUGCGUAGAUAUUAGGAGGAACACCAGUGGCGAAGGCGGCCUGCUGGGCUUUUACUGACGCUGAGGCUCGAAAGUGUGGGGAGCAAACAGGAUUAGAUACCCUGGUAGUC